GUCUUUUUGAGUUAUAUUUAAAGUCUAACCUGCCCACUGAAAAUUUUUGAAUGGCCGCAGUAAUUUGACUGUGCAAAGGUAGCAUAAUCAUUAGUUUUUUAAUUAAAAGCUUGUAUGAAAGGUUGAACGAAGUAAAAUCUGUCUCUAUUUAAUUAAAUUUAGAAUUUAAUUUUUAAGUUAAAAAGCUUAAAUAUUUGUAAAAGACGAGAAGACCCUAUAGAGCUUUAUAAUUUAUUAAAUAUAAUUAUUUAAGAUUAUUUUAAGUUUUAUUAUAUAAAUUAUUUUAUUGGGGUAAUAUAAAGAUUUAAAUAAUUCUUUUUUUUUAUUAACACUAAUUUGUGAUAUAAUGAUCCAUUUUUAUUGAUUAAAAGAUUAAGUUACCUUAGGGAUAACAGCGUAAUUUUUUUAAAGAGUUCAUAUCGAUAAAAAAGUUUGCGACCUCGAUGUUGGAUUAAAGAUUAGUUUAGGUGUAGAAGUUUAAAUUUUUGGUCUGUUCGACCAUUAAAUCUUUACA
This 514-nucleotide ribosomal RNA is filed under the name Metius blandus. RNAcentral describes it as "partial 16S ribosomal RNA". The stretch from base 388 to 514 matches the Rfam family "Bacterial large subunit ribosomal RNA", at positions 2473 to 2600 of the family's 2925-position model. The record is from RNAcentral. Lineage: Eukaryota; Metazoa; Arthropoda; Insecta; Coleoptera; Carabidae.